This 248-nucleotide ribosomal RNA is filed under the name uncultured bacterium. RNAcentral describes it as "partial 16S ribosomal RNA". It matches the Rfam family "Bacterial small subunit ribosomal RNA", at positions 430 to 670 of the family's 1533-position model. The record is from RNAcentral.
CUGCUUUUGUACGGAACGAAAAAGCUCUCUCUAAUACAGGGGGUGAAUGACGGUACCGUAAGAAUAAGCACCGGCUAACUACGUGCCAGCAGCCGCGGUAAUACGUAGGGUGCAAGCGUUAAUCGGAAUUACUGGGCGUAAAGCGUGCGCAGGCGGUUUUGUAAGACGGAGGUGAAAUCCCCGGGCUCAACCUGGGAACUGCCUUUGUGACUGCAAAGCUGGAGUGCGGCAGAGGGGGAUGGAAUUCC